GCCAGUGGAUAGACAAGACCAUGACUCAAUAGAAGUCUGGUUUAUACACCACCAUCUCCCACUACAGCCAGUGGAUAGACAGGACCAUGACUCAAUAGAAGCCUGGUUUAUACACCACCAUCUCCCACUACAGCCAGUGGAUAGACAAGACCAUGACUCAAUAGAAGCCUGGUUUAUACACCACCAUCUCCCACUACAGCCAGUGGAUAGACGGGUCCAUGACUCAAUAGAAGCCUGGUUUAUACACCACCAUCUCCAACUACAGCCAGUGGAUAGACAGGACCAUGACUCAAUAGAAGCCUGGUUUAUACACCACCAUCUCCCACUACAGCCAGUGGAUAGACAGGACCAUGACUCAAUAGAAGCCUGGUUUAUACACCACCAUCUCCCACUACAGCCAGUGGAUAGACAAGACCAUGACUCAAUAGAAGCCUGGUUUAUACACCACCAUCUCCCACUACAGCCAGUGGAUAGACAGGACCAUGACUCAAUAGAAGCCUGGUUUAUACACCACCAUCUCCCACUACAGCCAGUGGAUAGACAAGCCCAUGACUCAAUAGAAGCCUGGUUUAUACACCACCAUCUCCCACUACAGCCAGUGGAUAGACAGGACCAUGACUCAAUAGAAGCCUGGUUUAUACACCACCAUCUCCCACUACAGCCAGUGGAUAGACAAGACCAUGACUCAAUAGAAGCCUGGUUUAUA
Salvelinus namaycush (lake trout) is the source of this 706-nucleotide long non-coding RNA. RefSeq lists it as uncharacterized. The record is from RefSeq and is a predicted model, not a curated record. NCBI's taxonomy places the organism in Eukaryota, Metazoa, Chordata, Actinopteri, Salmoniformes, Salmonidae. The transcript is spliced from 2 exons.